RNAcentral lists this non-coding RNA (29 nucleotides) under Rattus norvegicus (Norway rat). The record is from RNAcentral. Lineage: Eukaryota; Metazoa; Chordata; Mammalia; Rodentia; Muridae.
UGGUGGAUCUGCUCCAUGAGAACCCGCUU